AGGGUUCGAUUAUGGCUCAGGAUGAACGCUGGCGGCGUGCUUAACACAUGCAAGUCGAACGAAGAUACUUAAAAUGAGAGCUUCGGCAGGAUUUUUAUUUAUCUUAGUGGCGGACGGGUGAGUAACGUGUGGGCAACCUGCCCUAUACUGGGGAAUAAUCACUGGAAACGGUGACUAAUACCGCAUGUCAUUACGGAAGGGCAUCCUUCUGUAAGAAAAGGAGUAAUUCGGUAUAGGAUGGGCCCGCAUCUGAUUAGCUAGUUGGUGAGAUAACAGCCCACCAAGGCGACGAUCAGUAGCCGACCUGAGAGGGUGAUCGGCCACAUUGGGACUGAGACACGGCCCAA
This 347-nucleotide ribosomal RNA is filed under the name uncultured bacterium. RNAcentral's name for it is "bacterial SSU rRNA". It matches the Rfam family "Bacterial small subunit ribosomal RNA", at positions 8 to 334 of the family's 1533-position model. The record is from RNAcentral.